UUUGYCAAGUYGAACGGUCCGCAAGGCUAGUGGCGAACGGGUGAGUAACGCGUUGGUGACCUGCCCUGAAGAGGGGGAUAACGGAUCGAAAGAUCAGCUAAUACCGCAUAAGCUCUUACUAGUUAGAGAGGUAAGAGGAAAGCCGAAAGGCGCUUUAGGAGGGACCUGCGUCCCAUCAGCUAGUUGGUAAGGUAGUGGCUUACCAAGGCGAUGACGGGUAGGGGACCUGAGAGGGUGGCCCCCCACAAUGGAACUGAAACACGGUCCAUACACCUACGGGUGGCAGCAGUAGGGAAUAUUGGUUAAUGGGCGAAAGCCUGACCCAGCAACGCCGCGUGAACGAUGAAGGCCUUCGGGUUGUAAAGUUCUUUUGACCGGGAUGAGGAAGGACAGUACCGGUCGAAUAAGUCUCGGCUAACUACGUGCCAGCAGCCGCGGUAACACGUAGGAGACGAGCGUUAUCCGGAUUUACUGGGUGUAAAGCGCGUGCAGGCGGUAUGGUAAGUUGGAUGUGAAAGCUCCCGGCUUAACUGGGAGAGGUCGUACAAGACUGCCAAACUAGAGGACAGCAGAGGGGAGUGGAAUUCCGAGUGUASCGGUAAAAUGCAUAGAUAUUCGGAAGAACACCAGUGGCGAAGGCGGCUCUCUGGGCUGUACCUGACGCUCAGACGCGAAAGCUAGGGGUAGCAAACGGGAUUAGAGACCCCCGGUAGUCCUAGCCGUAAACGAUGUGAACUUGGCGUAGGUGGGUUCAAAUCCAUCUGUGCCGCAGCAAACGCGAUAAGUUCACCACCUGGGGGACUACGGCYCGCAAGGGUUAAAAACUCAAAGGAAAUUUGACGGGGGCCCCGCACCA
This 856-nucleotide ribosomal RNA is filed under the name uncultured Dietzia sp. Its description in RNAcentral is "bacterial SSU rRNA". It matches the Rfam family "Bacterial small subunit ribosomal RNA", at positions 54 to 928 of the family's 1533-position model. Lineage: Bacteria; Bacillati; Actinomycetota; Actinomycetes; Mycobacteriales; Dietziaceae. The record is from RNAcentral.